Oncorhynchus gorbuscha (pink salmon) is the source of this 1548-nucleotide long non-coding RNA. RefSeq lists it as uncharacterized. Lineage: Eukaryota; Metazoa; Chordata; Actinopteri; Salmoniformes; Salmonidae. The record is from RefSeq and is a predicted model, not a curated record. The transcript is spliced from 4 exons.
CCCAGCUGAAAUAGACCAGUUACUAGCUAACCUCCUGUCAACUGAGGGCGAGAAUGUCUCUCCUUAGUCUUUUAAAUUCCAGUUGUUUGGAAUUGCCAGUCUGUUUUUGAAAUAAGACGUCAGAGGGCUGCAGGUGGGAGCACAGGGAUGACAGACGAGUUUCCCACUAGAAACUACACGUUGGAGGGGCGUUCAAGUGUAUUUCUCGCAGUCGUCACUCAUAUUUUACGAAUUUACGACAUGUCAAGAACGCUGCAUAAAGGUUGCUACAGGCGCCUCGCCUAGGGAUCCAUGGCCAGGCAGCUGUAAUAUUUGAUAGAAUAACACCUUGAGGACUUUGACUGACUGAGAGAAGGUGGAUGACAGCUAAACUUCACUGCCUCCUACUGGGCCUGCUGUGGUCCAGAGCUCGUCUUACAAUCAGCAAGAAGACAACCCAAUACAACAAUGUGUUAUUGAGAAGGAACAGGUUAUUACAUGGGAAUGAGAGUAAUUGUGGAGUGUUACUGAAUAUUCUUAAGACACUGGGAAUGAAACAGUCCAGAUUUCCAAUAGAUUUUCACCGUAGUAGGAUAACAGGUAUAUUGUGUGGAAAUGUGAAUCCAACCCCCCUCUCCCUGACAAUAAUGAGAUGGUUAUGCUCUCUUUUUGGGGCCUCGGAAUGUGAAAUGACAUGGCAAAUUUCACAUUCUGCUCGGAUAUCUACUGCUCUCUCUUCAUUUAACCCAAGCCAUACAAUGGAUACGUCUUCCCUACAAACAGCUGAUCUUUGCCCUUGCCCCUUUUGAGGUUGAAAUUUUGGCCCACUCUUGCAUGCAGAACGGCUUGCAUGCAGAAUGCAACUGCUCGUUUCAAAUCCUGACACAACAUAUCAAUUGGGAUUAGGUCAGGACUUUGACUAGGCCAUUCCAAAACUUAAAAUUGGUUGCUUUUUAACAAAUUUCAUGUAGACCUGAUUGUGUGUUUUUGAUCAUUGUCUUGCUGCACGACCCAGCUGCGUUUCAGCUUAAGUAUGGCCUGACACAGAAGUAUGGCCUGACAUUCCCCUGUAGAAUUCUCUGUUACAGAGCAGAAUUCAUGGUUCCUUCUAUUAAAGCAAGUCAUCCAGGUCCUGAAACAGCAAAGCAUCCCCAAACCAUCAUACUACCACCACCAUGCUGGACUGUUUUUAUGAGGUUCUUUCUGUGGAAUGCAGUGUUUGGUUUUUGCCAGACAUAAUGGGACCGAUCUUGUCAAAAAACUUUAAAGUUUAAGGGGGCAAUUACUUUUUCACAUAGGGGCAUUGGGUGUUGCAUAACUUUGUUGAUGAAAUAAAUUAUAUAAGUAUUAAUUGUUGUGUUAUUUGUUCACUCAGUUUCCCUUUAUCUAAUAUUAGGUUUUCGUAGAAGAUCUGAAAACGUUCGGUAUAAAAAAAUAUGCCAAAGUUGAGAAAAUUAGAAAGGUGGUGUCACGCCUUGGUCAUUGUAUCUUGUGUUUUUGUUAUAUGUUUGGGUAGGCCAGGGUGUGACAUGGGUUCAUAUGUUGUAUUUCGUAUUGGGGUUUGUAUUA